CCAAUGUCAUCGCCGGCGCCGUUGAUGUCACCGAUGUCAUCGCUGACGUCACCCGCGUGGUCGCUGAUGGCAUGGCUGAUGUCACCAGGGUCAUCGCCGACACAACCGGCGUCACCAACGUCAUCGCUGACAUCGCCGGUGUCGUCACCAACGCAACCAGUGUCACCGGUGUCAUCGGCGAUGGCGCCAACGGCACCAGAGUCGUCACUGACGUCAUCACAGAUGGCACCAACGUCAUCCCCAACGCAACCGGUGUCACCGAUGUGAUGGAUGGCACCAGCAUGGUGACUGAUGGCACCACUGCCGUCAGCGACGCAGCCGGUGUCACCGGUGUUGUGAGCGAUGGCACCGACAGCACCGCUGUGAUGACCGAUGCCACCAAUGUCAUCACUGACGUCACCAACGUCAUCACCAACGCAGCCAGUGCCACCGAUGUCAUCAGCAGUGACACCAGUGGUGCCAGUGUGCUGACCAGCGCCGCCAGCGUCGUCACCGAUGGCACCAACAUCAUCGCUGACGGCACCAGCGUCAUCAGUGACGUCACCAGUGUCACCAGUGCCAUCGCUGAUGGCACCAAUGUGAUAACCAACGUCGUCGCCGACGUCGCCAGUGUCCCCACCGUCGCCAGUGAUGUCACCAGCGUCACCACCGACGUCAUCACCAAUGGCACCAACGUAACAAACAUCAUCACUGACACAACCAGUGUCAGCACCGAUGGCACCGGUGUCCCUCAUGUCAUCACUGAUGGCACUCCUGUUGUCACCAGCAGUGUCACCCAUAGCACCCAUGACACCAGUGGCAUUGCCAAUGGCACCAGUGUCAACAGUGAUGCCACCAACGUCGUCACGGAUGGCACCGCUGUCACCAAUGCGAUCACUGAUGGCACCAACGGCACCAGUGUCACCGCCGAUGGCACCCAUGGCACCAGUGUCAUCUCUGAUGGCACCAGUGUCACCAAUGUCAUCACUGAUGGCACUGACAGCACCAGUGUCAUCACCAAUAGCACCAAUGGCACCACUGGUGCCACCACUGUCACCAGUGCCAUCUCUGAUGGCGUGCCCAUCAUCACCAGCAUGGCCUCCAGUGGCACCGACGUCACCAACGCCACCACCAGUGUCACCACCAGUGUCACCAACACCAUCACUGAUGUCACCAACGUCACCACCGACACCAGCGCCGUCCCCCCCGGUGCCCCCCACACCGUCGGCGCCUACGGCAGCGCCCUGGCCAUCAUGGAGCCCAUGGAGAUCUACCCCGAGGGCACGGCACCGGCGGGGACGNNNNNNNNNNNNNNNNNNNNGGGCCGGCCCCUGGGGGGGGGGUCUGAGUGGGGGGGGGGAGGGCAGCGUGGCCCCCCCCCCUCCCCCCCCUCCCCCCCCCAGGGUGGUCCCCACGGCGCCAUUUUGGGGCGUUCUGCCCCAAUUCUGGGGGGGGACGACACCCCACGUCACUGCCUUGGGGAUAUUCCUGGUGGGGCCAGUCCCACUUUGGGGGGAUUUCGCCCCGUUUUGGGGGACAGGAGACGGAUGGAGACCCCAUGUUACCACCGUGGGGAUGUUCCUCGUGGGGUCAGCCCCAUUCUGGGGGGAAUCUGGCCAUAUUUUGGUGGAUUUCACCCCGUUUUGGGGACAGGAGACGGAUGGAGGAGCCCAUGUCAUACCGUGGGGACGUUCCUGGUGGCCCCAGCCUCAUUUUGGGGGGAUUUUGCCCCAUUUUGGGGACAGGAGACAGAUGGAGGACCCCACGUUACCGCCAUGGGGAUGUUCCUGUUGCCCUAAUCCCAUUCUGGGGGGAUUUCACCCGAUUUUGGGGUCGUAAAGACGGGGACAUCGCAUCAACCCAUUGAAGACGUUCUGGUGGCCCCGACCCCAUUCUGGGGGGAUUUUGCCCCAUUUUGGGGNNNNN
Molecule: long non-coding RNA, 1905 nt
Organism: Chrysolophus pictus (golden pheasant)
Lineage: Eukaryota; Metazoa; Chordata; Aves; Galliformes; Phasianidae
Source: Ensembl